This 896-nucleotide ribosomal RNA is filed under the name Enterococcus mundtii. RNAcentral's name for it is "bacterial SSU rRNA". It matches the Rfam family "Bacterial small subunit ribosomal RNA", at positions 69 to 933 of the family's 1533-position model. The record is from RNAcentral. Lineage: Bacteria; Bacillati; Bacillota; Bacilli; Lactobacillales; Enterococcaceae.
UCAUUUUCCCACCGGAGCUUGCUCCACCGGGAAAAGAGGAGUGGCGAACGGGUGAGUAACACGUGGGUAACCUGCCCAUCAGAAGGGGAUAACACUUGGAAACAGGUGCUAAUACCGUAUAACAAUCGAAACCGCAUGGUUUCGUUUUGAAAGGCGCUUUACGGUGCCGCUGAUGGAUGGACCCGCGGUGCAUUAGCUAGUUGGUGAGGUAACGGCUCACCAAGGCCACGAUGCAUAGCCGACCUGAGAGGGUGAUCGGCCACAUUGGGACUGAGACACGGCCCAAACUCCUACGGGAGGCAGCAGUAGGGAAUCUUCGGCAAUGGACGAAAGUCUGACCGAGCAACGCCGCGUGAGUGAAGAAGGUUUUCGGAUCGUAAAACUCUGUUGUUAGAGAAGAACAAGGGUGAGAGUAACUGUUCACCCCUUGACGGUAUCUAACCAGAAAGCCACGGCUAACUACGUGCCAGCAGCCGCGGUAAUACGUAGGUGGCAAGCGUUGUCCGGAUUUAUUGGGCGUAAAGCGAGCGCAGGCGGUUUCUUAAGUCUGAUGUGAAAGCCCCCGGCUCAACCGGGGAGGGUCAUUGGAAACUGGGAGACUUGAGUGCAGAAGAGGAGAGUGGAAUUCCAUGUGUAGCGGUGAAAUGCGUAGAUAUAUGGAGGAACACCAGUGGCGAAGGCGGCUCUCUGGUCUGUAACUGACGCUGAGCUCGAAAGCGUGGGGAGCAAACAGGAUUAGAUACCCUGGUAGUCCACGCCGUAAACGAUGAGUGCUAAGUGUUGGAGGGUUUCCGCCCUUCAGUGCUGCAGCUAACGCAUUAAGCACUCCGCCUGGGGGAGUACGACCGCAAGGGUUGAAACUCAAAGGAAUUGACGGGGGGGCCCGCACAAGCCGG